Molecule: ribosomal RNA, 2044 nt
Filed under: Escherichia coli chi7122
Lineage: Bacteria; Pseudomonadati; Pseudomonadota; Gammaproteobacteria; Enterobacterales; Enterobacteriaceae
Description: bacterial LSU rRNA
Rfam family: Bacterial large subunit ribosomal RNA
Source: RNAcentral
AGAGCACUGUUUCGGCAAGGGGGUCAUCCCGACUUACCAACCCGAUGCAAACUGCGAAUACCGGAGAAUGUUAUCACGGGAGACACACGGCGGGUGCUAACGUCCGUCGUGAAGAGGGAAACAACCCAGACCGCCAGCUAAGGUCCCAAAGUCAUGGUUAAGUGGGAAACGAUGUGGGAAGGCCCAGACAGCCAGGAUGUUGGCUUAGAAGCAGCCAUCAUUUAAAGAAAGCGUAAUAGCUCACUGGUCGAGUCGGCCUGCGCGGAAGAUGUAACGGGGCUAAACCAUGCACCGAAGCUGCGGCAGCGACGCUUAUGCGUUGUUGGGUAGGGGAGCGUUCUGUAAGCCUGUGAAGGUGUGCUGUGAGGCAUGCUGGAGGUAUCAGAAGUGCGAAUGCUGACAUAAGUAACGAUAAAGCGGGUGAAAAGCCCGCUCGCCGGAAGACCAAGGGUUCCUGUCCAACGUUAAUCGGGGCAGGGUGAGUCGACCCCUAAGGCGAGGCCGAAAGGCGUAGUCGAUGGGAAACAGGUUAAUAUUCCUGUACUUGGUGUUACUGCGAAGGGGGGACGGAGAAGGCUAUGUUGGCCGGGCGACGGUUGUCCCGGUUUAAGCGUGUAGGCUGGUUUUCCAGGCAAAUCCGGAAAAUCAAGGCUGAGGCGUGAUGACGAGGCACUACGGUGCUGAAGCAACAAAUGCCCUGCUUCCAGGAAAAGCCUCUAAGCAUCAGGUAACAUCAAAUCGUACCCCAAACCGACACAGGUGGUCAGGUAGAGAAUACCAAGGCGCUUGAGAGAACUCGGGUGAAGGAACUAGGCAAAAUGGUGCCGUAACUUCGGGAGAAGGCACGCUGAUAUGUAGGUGAAGUCCCUCGCGGAUGGAGCUGAAAUCAGUCGAAGAUACCAGCUGGCUGCAACUGUUUAUUAAAAACACAGCACUGUGCAAACACGAAAGUGGACGUAUACGGUGUGACGCCUGCCCGGUGCCGGAAGGUUAAUUGAUGGGGUCAGCGCAAGCGAAGCUCUUGAUCGAAGCCCCGGUAAACGGCGGCCGUAACUAUAACGGUCCUAAGGUAGCGAAAUUCCUUGUCGGGUAAGUUCCGACCUGCACGAAUGGCGUAAUGAUGGCCAGGCUGUCUCCACCCGAGACUCAGUGAAAUUGAACUCGCUGUGAAGAUGCAGUGUACCCGCGGCAAGACGGAAAGACCCCGUGAACCUUUACUAUAGCUUGACACUGAACAUUGAGCCUUGAUGUGUAGGAUAGGUGGGAGGCUUAGAAGUGUGGACGCCAGUCUGCAUGGAGCCGACCUUGAAAUACCACCCUUUAAUGUUUGAUGUUCUAACGUUGACCCGUAAUCCGGGUUGCAGACAGUGUCUGGUGGGUAGUUUGACUGGGGCGGUCUCCUCCUAAAGAGUAACGGAGGAGCACGAAGGUUGGCUAAUCCUGGUCGGACAUCAGGAGGUUAGUGCAAUGGCAUAAGCCAGCUUGACUGCGAGCGUGACGGCGCGAGCAGGUGCGAAAGCAGGUCAUAGUGAUCCGGUGGUUCUGAAUGGAAGGGCCAUCGCUCAACGGAUAAAAGGUACUCCGGGGAUAACAGGCUGAUACCGCCCAAGAGUUCAUAUCGACGGCGGUGUUUGGCACCUCGAUGUCGGCUCAUCACAUCCUGGGGCUGAAGUAGGUCCCAAGGGUAUGGCUGUUCGCCAUUUAAAGUGGUACGCGAGCUGGGUUUAGAACGUCGUGAGACAGUUCGGUCCCUAUCUGCCGUGGGCGCUGGAGAACUGAGGGGGGCUGCUCCUAGUACGAGAGGACCGGAGUGGACGCAUCACUGGUGUUCGGGUUGUCAUGCCAAUGGCACUGCCCGGUAGCUAAAUGCGGAAGAGAUAAGUGCUGAAAGCAUCUAAGCACGAAACUUGCCCCGAGAUGAGUUCUCCCUGACUCCUUGAGAGUCCUGAAGGAACGUUGAAGACGACGACGUUGAUAGGCCGGGUGUGUAAGCGCAGCGAUGCGUUGAGCUAACCGGUACUAAUGAACCGUGAGGCUUAACCUU